This 1483-nucleotide ribosomal RNA is filed under the name metagenome. Its description in RNAcentral is "bacterial SSU rRNA". It matches the Rfam family "Bacterial small subunit ribosomal RNA". The record is from RNAcentral.
AGAGUUUGAUCCUGGCUCAGAACGAACGUUGGCGAGAUGUCUUAAGCAUGCAAGUCGAGCGGCAGCACUUCGGGUGGCGAGCGGCGAACUGGUGAGUAACGCGUAGGUAAUCUACCUUUUAGACUGGGAUAGCCACUGGAAACAGUGAUUAAUACCGGAUAUGACACUUGUGUUGAAAGCAGCGUUUGCUGCACUAAAAGAUGAGCUUGCGUCCCAUUAGCUAGUUGGUGAGAUAAUAGCUCACCAAGGCGACAAUGGGUAGCCGGCCUGAGAGGGUGAUCGGCCACAUCGGGACUGAGAUACGGCCCGGACUCCUACGGGAGGCAGCAGCUAAGAAUAUUCCGCAAUGGACGAAAGUCUGACGGAGCAAUUUCGCGUGAGGGAAGAAGGCUCUUGGGUUGUAAACCUCUUUCAGCAGGGAAGAAUAAGGUAGUCAGGAAAUGGGCUAUUGAUGACGGUACCUGCAUAAGAAGCACCGACUAAUUACGUGCCAGCAGUCGCGGUAAUACGUAAGGUGCAAACGUUGUUCGGAAUCACUGGGCGUAAAGGGUACGCAGGCGGCCUGAUAAGUUAGUGGUGAAAUCUCGGAGCUUAACUCCGAGUCUGCCAUUAAUACUGUUGGGCUAGAGUUGUAAUAGGGGUGGUAGGAAUUCCUGGUGUAGGAGUGAAAUCUGUAGAUAUCAGGAGGAACACCAAUAGCGAAGGCAAGCCACUGGGUAACAACUGACGCUCAUGUACGAAAGCUAGGGGAGCAAAUGGGAUUAGAGACCCCAGUAGUCCUAGCCGUAAACGCUGCACACUAGCUUUAUGGGGUUUAACUCUAUAUAGCACAGCAAACGCGUUAAGUGUGCCGCCUGGGGAGUAUGCACGCAAGUGUGAAACUCAAAGGAAUUGACAGGGGCUCGCACAAGCGGUGGAGCAUGUGGUUUAAUUCGAUGAUAAGCGAAAAACCUUACCUGGGCUUGAACGUGUAGUGACAUCCUGUGAAAGCAGGCUUCUCUUCGGAGCACUAUGCGAGGUGCUGCAUGGCUGUCGUCAGCCCGUGUUGUGAAAUGUUGGGUUAAGUCCCGCAACGAGCGCAACCCUUAUCCUAUGUUGCUAAUUAGACUUCGGUCUGAAGGACUCUUAGGAGACUGCCUCGGUUAACGGGGAGGAAGGUGGGGAUGACGUCAAGUCCUCAUGGCCCUUAUGUCCAGGGUUACACACGUGCUACAAUGGGGCGUACAAAGGGAAGCGAAAUCGCGAGGUUAAGCAAAUCCCAGAAAACGUCUCUCAGUUCGGAUUGUACUCUGAAACUCGAGUGCAUGAAGCUGGAAUCGCUAGUAAUCGCAGAUCAGCAUGCUGCGGUGAAUACGUUCUCGAGCCUUGUACACACCGCCCGUCACACCACCCGAGCUAAUUUUACCUGAAGUCACUGUACCAACCGCAAGGAGGAAGGUGCCGAGGGUAGGAUCGGUAAGGAGGGUGAAGUCGUAACAAGGCG